This 540-nucleotide ribosomal RNA is filed under the name uncultured Geobacteraceae bacterium. RNAcentral describes it as "bacterial SSU rRNA". It matches the Rfam family "Bacterial small subunit ribosomal RNA", at positions 9 to 526 of the family's 1533-position model. The record is from RNAcentral. Lineage: Bacteria; Pseudomonadati; Thermodesulfobacteriota; Desulfuromonadia; Geobacterales; Geobacteraceae.
GAGUUUGAUCCUGGCUCAGAACGAACGCUGGCGGCGUGCCUAACACAUGCAAGUCGAACGGAUUUGAGGAGCUUGCUUCUCAAGUUAGUGGCGCACGGGUGAGUAACGCGUAGAUAAUCUGCCUGAUGAUCUGGGAUAACACUUCGAAAGGGGUGCUAAUACCGGAUAAGCCCMCGGAGUCUUUGGACUUUGCGGGAAAAGGGGGGGACCUUCGGGCCUUCUGUCAUCAGAUGAGUCUGCGUACUAUUAGCUAGUUGGUAGGGUAAAGGCCUACCAAGGCUACGAUGGUUAGCUGGUCUGAGGGGAUGAUCAGCCACACUGGAACUGAGACACGGUCCAGACUCCUACGGGAGGCAGCAGUGGGGAAUUUUGCGCAAUGGGCGAAAGCCUGACGCAGCAACGCCGCGUGAGUGAUGAAGGCUUUCGGGUCGUAAAGCUCUGUCGAGGGGAAAGAAGUGUAUUGCGGCUAAUAUCCGCGAUACUUGACGGUACCCCUAAAGGAAGCACCGGCUAACUCCGUGCCAGCAGCCGCGGUAAUAC